Molecule: long non-coding RNA, 240 nt
Filed under: Carica papaya (papaya)
Lineage: Eukaryota; Viridiplantae; Streptophyta; Magnoliopsida; Brassicales; Caricaceae
Description: long non-coding RNA (CPAP_LNC000485)
Source: RNAcentral
AGCAGUCCCGGCCAACCAGGGCCUGCCACGUGGCAAGACCACAUCACUCCGAAGGGUAGCCACGUUGGCGAUCCGCGUGGGUGCGAUCCGACGGCCCAGAUCAAUCACGCGACCGGACGGCCCAGAUUCAAUCGCACGGACGGCCCAGAUUCAAUCAAAAACGAACGGCCCAGAUUAAAACAAAAUGAACGGCUGUGAUUAAAAGGCAAGGGGUUAUAAAUAGAACCCCCACACCAGACC